CCCCUCUCUGGGUCGCACCUGGAGUGUUUUCAGCGCUCUACCAGCCUCGACUAUGAGAGGGAGAGUCAAGCAGAGGCUUACCCAUUCCAUUUCUAGCUUGGGCAGUGGCUAGUGAGUGGAAGGCUACCUGCUACAAGU
Small nucleolar RNA from Ornithorhynchus anatinus (platypus), 138 nucleotides. The record is from RefSeq and is a predicted model, not a curated record. Lineage: Eukaryota; Metazoa; Chordata; Mammalia; Monotremata; Ornithorhynchidae.